AUGUACAUUCUUAUAGCUUAUUGUUAAUGCACCCAAUUCCAUUAGUAAUACAAAGUUAAGAGUGCUCGAGCUAGAGUAAUACUAGGAUGGGUGACUACCCGAGAAUUCCUAGUGUUUUACAUG
Molecule: non-coding RNA, 123 nt
Organism: Picea glauca (white spruce)
Lineage: Eukaryota; Viridiplantae; Streptophyta; Pinopsida; Pinales; Pinaceae
Source: Rfam